This 776-nucleotide ribosomal RNA is filed under the name uncultured Prevotellaceae bacterium. Its description in RNAcentral is "bacterial SSU rRNA". It matches the Rfam family "Bacterial small subunit ribosomal RNA", at positions 74 to 847 of the family's 1533-position model. Lineage: Bacteria; Pseudomonadati; Bacteroidota; Bacteroidia; Bacteroidales; Prevotellaceae. The record is from RNAcentral.
GAGUGCUUGCACUCUUUGGACGUCGACCGGCGCACGGGUGAGUAACGCGUAUCCAACCUUCCCAUUACUGUGGGAUAACCUGCCGAAAGGCAGACUAAUACCGCAUAGUCUUCGAUGACGGCAUCAGAUUUGAAGUAAAGAUUUAUCGGUAAUGGAUGGGGAUGCGUCUGAUUAGCUUGUUGGCGGGGUAACGGCCCACCAAGGCGACGAUCAGUAGGGGUUCUGAGAGGAAGGUCCCCCACAUUGGAACUGAGACACGGUCCAAACUCCUACGGGAGGCAGCAGUGAGGAAUAUUGGUCAAUGGACGGAAGUCUGAACCAGCCAAGUAGCGUGCAGGAUGACGGCCCUAUGGGUUGUAAACUGCUUUUGUAUGGGGAUAAAGUUAGGGACGUGUCCCUAUUUGCAGGUACCAUACGAAUAAGGACCGGCUAAUUCCGUGCCAGCAGCCGCGGUAAUACGGAAGGUCCAGGCGUUAUCCGGAUUUAUUGGGUUUAAAGGGAGCGUAGGCUGGAGAUUAAGUGUGUUGUGAAAUGUAGACGCUCAACGUCUGAAUUGCAGCGCAUACUGGUUUCCUUGAGUACGCACAACGUUGGCGGAAUUCGUCGUGUAGCGGUGAAAUGCUUAGAUAUGACGAAGAACUCCGAUUGCGAAGGCAGCUGACGGGAGCGCAACUGACGCUUAAGCUCGAAGGUGCGGGUAUCAAACAGGAUUAGAUAUCCUGGUAGUCCGCACAGUAAACGAUGGAUGCCCGCUGUUGGUACCUGGUAUCAGCGGC